GAGGAUCAUCUUCAAGGACUACGUCGUAGGGUUCCCCACCGAGGACGACAUGGUCCUCACCCCCUCCACCAUCCGAUCGAAGGUCCCCAAGGGAUCGACGGCCGUGAUCCUCAAGAACCUCUACCUCUCCUGCGACCCCUACAUGCGUUGGCGCAUGUCGGCGCCCGAGCACGAGAGCUACACUGACGCCUUCGUUCCGGGAUCUGUGAGCGAAACCCUCGUCUCAAAACCCUAGCAUCUCUUUUUUUUAAAAAAAAAAUUUAAAUUUAGACUUAACUAGUAAUGUACCCGCGCUUUUGCAACGAAUACGAUUUUUAAGUUCAUAAUUAUUAUAUUAUACAUUAUAUAAAAUUGCUUAAUAGAGUCAAAUUCUCUUAUUUAGAGAAAGCGAAGAGAAUAUUAAAUAAAAAUUAAAAUCAGAGACAGAGAGAGCACUUUCAAAUUUUCAAAUAUAGCAUAUUUUACUCAUAAUGUAGAAAAAUAAAACUUAAAGAUUUUUAAAAAUGUAGAAUUAUUAAAUUCAAGUUUAAAAUUAUUUUAAAUAUUCAUAUAUUUUGUUUAAAGGAAAGAGAAAAAAUAAAUUAAAAUCAACUAGCGAGAAAGAAAGUGGUAUGCACAUUUCUUCUCGAGAGAUAGAAAGAGAAUGGUUAAAUAAAAUGAAGUAAGAGAGAAAGUAUCAAUAGGAAUUUAAAAUUUAAAUUUUUGAAGUUGAAAAUUGAGAAUAAAUAUUAUAAAUUUUAAGUUAUAAAUUUUAAAUUUUAAAUUUUAAUUAGAAUUUAAAUUUUAUAAUAUAAAAUUUUCAACAAUAUAUAUAUAUAUUAAUAUAUGUAACUAGUGGUAUACUACUACUUAUAUAUAUAUAUAUAUAUAUAUAUAUAUAUGAAUAGAGCUAGGUUGGUAUACUACUAGUAGCACGAAGGCCUCCGUACUACCAAGUUGUUUUCAAUGAUGUAGUUUCCAAAUCGACGAUCGGCUCCGUUAGACUUGAUCUACACUAUUGAAACUAUUUGAAAACUAAAUUUCAUAAUUUUUCGACAUCAUUUACCUAUCAAACGAGUAGUCUAAAAAUGAACGAUUGAAAUAAAAAUCUCAUAAAAUAUGAUGACAAAAGACUUAAAUUUAAAAUCAGAGCUACUAUUCUAACUCUCAAUAGUAAAAAAAAAAAAAAUUUAUAAAAAUUUUAUCAGAUUUGGAUUGUUUUAUACCGUUAAAUUCACAAACGCAUAACAUCGACCAUUAAAAUUGUCAAUUUUGAGACCUUUUGAUCACUACCCAAAUGAUGUUGAAAAGUUAUGAAAUUUAGUUUUCAAAUACGUUUAAUAGUGUAGGUCAAAUCUAACGAACCCAAUCGUCGAUUUGGAAGCCGAAUAAUUGAAAAUAAUUUGGUAGGACGGAGACCUUCAUGCUAUUGAUAGUAUACCAACCUACCUCUCUCUCUCUCUCUCUCUCUAUAUAGGGGUAGGGAGAGAGAGGAGAGGAGGAUGGUCUAUGGUGCACCGGGUUCACCGAAGGAAGCCAGGGACAUAAUGGCAUAGUAAUAGAUUGGACUCUACCACACUAUAUUUUAAAUAUUGUGUUAUUUUUAUUUGUUAUGUUGUAUUAUUUUUUUUUUAAAUAAAGACACUAUUAUAUUAUUGUAUUGUAUAAUUUUCGACACUUUAUCUUAGACUUAAUUUUUUUUUUCUAUCCUGUAUUAUUUUUUUUUCUAAUAGAUUUUACUAAAUUAUUUUUUUCUCGUCAAUCUCUAUAUUGCUAUUAACAAAUAUAUUGUUGUAGAUAAAAUUUACCAAUUUUAUUAAAAUACACCAGCGAAAUAGAAGAAAAAAAAAAAGUUAAAAUGAAUCUCCAUAAUAAACUCAUUGAAAGUUUUCAUUUUCGUUCCGAAGCCAAGUUGCUUCAAACUGUUGCUUAAUUCACCUUCCUAUUGAAUGAAGCGGUAGCAUGCUACCUUCCUCUCAAAAAAAAGUUUCUUUCAAGUUAUUUUUAAUUAAAGUUUUGUAACUUUUACAUAGUUUGUGCUUUUUAUGGCAAAAUGAAUUGAAUAUAUGCUCUGCCAAGCCCUAACUCACCCUCCGUGGACGAACCUUGCGGAGGUUUUUAACCAGUAUUUUUUAAUAGCUUUUAUAUGAAAUUAUAGAUUUAUUGCUUAUAGUGUAAGAAUUGAAAAAAAAAAAAAAAAUGGUACAUUAUAGGAAAUGUGUGUAAUUUAUACGGUUUAGUUCCUUUUGAAUGGGAGUUUCAGAUUUUAAAUUGGCGGAUUGAGUGAUCAGUUAGGCUAUACUCAUUUGAAAUAUGCGAGCUUGUUAAAUUUCUUGUAAUUAUUGAGAAUGUUAGCUCUCGAGAUCACUGUUUCAUGGCAUUGUGCAACCUAAUUUUUGUCCUCUGAUUCAAUCUGCAGGUCAUUGUUGGUUAUGGUGUGGCGAAAGUUGUCGACUCUGGACACCCAGAUUUCACAGCUGGAGACUUGGUCUGGGGAUUAACUGGUUGGGAAGAGUACAGUCUGAUAACUGCACCUGAAGGCUUGAUGAAAAUCAAACACACCGAUGUCCCGCUUUCUUAUUAUACGGGCAUCUUAGGUAUCUUUUAAUCCAUCCACCUCUUUACAGCGUUUAAUCAAGAUACGUUGUUAACAGAAGCUAUUGCUGUCGUUUUCACGUAAAUUUACUAACAUUUGAGCAUGCGCUGUUUGAACUUUUCCACAAUUUCGCAAACAGAGUGCAAACUCUUACCUUCUUGUAAUAGUGCGAUCAUCUUGUAUUAUCCAAGCAACAUAGUUUUUCUACAUGUUUGUCGUAUGGCUCUCCUGAGACAAAAGAUUGAAAUCUGUUUUGAAGGUAACCUACUAUUUCUACUGUUGUUAAUGAAGCUUUAGUUAAUGCUGUUGCUAUGUUAAGAGUGUUGUUACUGUUGCUUCUGUUGCAGCAUACGGGAAUCGUUUGAAAAUCAUUGUAAAAUGAGAGUUUGUCACUACUAAUUAGAAGAAAAAACCGCAAAUAGUUUCUAACAGAAUGUAAUCAACUCAUGGUUAUUUAUGUGCUGAGAGUACAUAAUUGAGAAAUAAGCAGCAUGAACUUAUGAUUCUGUGGGAUAAAAUAAAACAUACGGCGACGCCUCAUUUUCUCAAUUCGUUUAGUUUUCACAUGAUUUGUCAUGAAUGUCUUCCAAUAUCCGGGGUUUCUGUGCGAUUACUGCAGGAAUGCCGGGGCAUACUGCUUAUAUUGGAUUCCAUGAAAUAUGUUCUCCAAAGAAAGGAGAAAGAGUCUAUGUUUCAGCGGCAUCAGGCGCAGUUGGUCAGCUUGUUGGCCAAUUUGCUAAGCUGAUGGGGUGCUAUGUGGUUGGGAGUGCAGGCUCCAAAGAAAAGGUAUUAUCUUAAGCUGUACUCUAUGAAUUGUGGUACCCCACUUACAUCAUGUUGUUGAAAGUAUAUCCUGCGAAAAACAAAAAAGAAAAACUGGCUAUUAUAUUUGUUCUUCGUCGAUGCCUAUGUUCAGGUUGAUCUCUUAAAGAAUAAGUUUGGGUUUGAUGAUGCUUUUAACUAUAAGGAGGAGAAAGAUCUCAAUGCUGCCUUGAAAAGGUUAGUCGAUAAACUAGCUUAGACUUUUUUCUUAAUAUGUAUAUAUGUUCCUGAUCCACACUGCUUAAGGAGUUUUCUUAUACAUAGCACAGAAGUCUAAAAGAGCAAACAUCUUAAGCCUAAGUUCUGAAGAACAUUGUGGUGAACAAUCUGAUUAGAAAUGCCUGACCCCAAAAAAGAAAAAGAAAAUAAAAUCUCUAAUGGAUGUUGCCACAUCUAAAGUUUAAUAACACCCCUUAGCUACUUUAGAAAGUGUAAAGGCUCAAAAUUUUUUUAAAAAAGAAACACUUUUAUAGCUUGUAUUCUCUUUUUUGUGCCUUCUGCAAUUUGAGAUGACUUAAUUCUUCAUGCGCGCACACACAACAGACAAGAAGAAGAGGAAGAAGAACCCGAUAACUUGGUCUUGUAAAUAUUCGCAGGUGUUUCCCAGACGGAAUCGACAUCUACUUCGAGAACGUGGGGGGCCGAAUGCUUGACGCAGUUCUUCUGAACAUGAGAGCUCACGGUCGAAUCGCGGUCUGCGGAUUAAUAUCUCAGUACAACCUCACCCAGCAAGAAGGCAUCCACAACUUGUUCAACGUCGUGACGAAAAGGCUCCUCUUGCAAGGCUUCAUUUUCCCGGAUCACCUGCACCUCUAUCCCAAGUUCUUGGAAAUGGUCAUUCAGUAUAUAAGAGAAGGUAAAGUCGUUUACGUCGAGGAUGCUGCAGAAGGAAUAGAGAAGGCUCCUUCCGCACUCGUCGGCCUCUUUGCGGGCCGUAAUGUCGGCAAACAGGUUGUCGUCGUCGCCCGCGACUGAUGUGUCUGAGUGUUGCAAUUAUUGUUGUGGAUUUGUGCAAUUAUUGUUUGUGUGUAUCAAUCAACUCUGCUGUAGUUGGUGUCAGCAAUGAAGAUGACAUUUGUGAUCAGAAUAAUGAAAUGAUAUUUCUAAGAUCAGAGGUUUUAGAUGUACUUGUAUGAUAUUUUUAAAAUCAUAGUUAAUGUUUCCCGUUAUUUCCCUAAUCAUACAAGCUUAUAUUAAUCCUGGCUUCUAAAAUCUCAGUUUAAUCAUGCCAACAAAGCAUACUAUUAAUUGAAGAUUAAAAAAACAAAUUUUGUAUAGUAACAAAAGAAUUAUUAAAAUCCUCAUCAACUACCAGAUGGAAAUACCAUUAAUUUAUUAAGUUUCUGCAUAAAAUGGAAACUAAAAAGAACACACAUGUUUUCUACUUUACAGGAGAGUCACAUUCCCAUUUAUCUGCGUUGCAUGAAUCUCACAUUUACAUGUUUAUAAAUUUUUUUAUUAUAAAUUGAUUUAACAUAAUAUCAUAAUUAUUAUACAAAAUUAUUCAUCAAAAAAUUAUUUAUAAAAUCAGGCCUAAAGUACAUCACCAUACAAAAAUAAAAAUAAAUGAAUCACCACUUUCUAAAUACCAUAAUUCAUUUUCGCCCCCCUUAUUUAAAAUAUAUUAAAAUUAUUUGAGAGUACUUUUAAAGACAGUAAAUCAUUUACUGUUUUUAAAACUAAACAUAAUAAAUGAUUUAUCAUUUAUUUGUCUGACUUUGCACAAAUAAAUUUAAUUUUGAAAAUAAAAAUUUAAAAUAUUUAUAGUUACAAUUAGAAAUCUCAAUAGGCUUACUGGCCAAUAUUCCCCAUUUAUAUCAUAUAUGACAAAUUAAUUUCAUCGUCUCUAACCAGCGGGAUAUCACCAUGUGCAAAAAAAAAUUUAAGCACAUGGUUUUAGGCGGAGAUCACAAAUAAGUUCCUAUUUACUAUAAAAUAUUAAAAAUAUUUUAGAGUGUUUUUAAAAACUGAAUCGUUUAUUUUUAAAAAAAACUAAACGAUUUUAUCAUUUAUUUGUCGACUUUACAUAAAUAAAUAUUCAUCAUCUAUAUCAUAUAUUCAUAUAUGACAAAUUAAUUUCGUCGUCUCUGAGCUGCGGGAUACCACCACGUGCGAAAAACUUUUAGGAUAAAUUUUAAAUAUUAUUAUUAUGGUUUCGUACUUUUUCGCUUUAGUACUAUAUAAUUUAAAAUGUAUCAAUUCAAUAUUCUGUGGAUUUCUUUUUUUUCGUCAGUCCCUCCAUUAAUUUUUAUUUAAAUUAUGUAUAAAAACUUUUUAGAUGCUCUAUCUAUAGUUUAUUAAAUAUUUACUCUUUAGUACCAUUUAGUUUUAACUUUAAUACUAAUUUAAUAAAAAUAAUUAGUAAAAAAUUAAUAAAAUAAAAAUAAAAUUACGAAAGUAAAAUAUUUUAAAUUAUAAAAUAUUAAAAUAAAAAAUGCAAAAUAACACGGUGGUAUUUGAAGUUUUUUUAAAAUUUUAAGCUAAUGUUUUGAGGCUUCCUAUUUACUAUUUUAAUAAUAAUAUAUUCGAAAAAAGAACCACCAUAUAUAUCAUAUGGACCACGCCAUUAAUUGUGAGCUCGAGUUAGAAGUAGACGACGACGACGACGACGACGACGACGAAGAAGAAGAAGAAGUAGCUUAGAGAUCGCAACAAUGGCGACGGAGGGGGAGGAGCUGAGCAACAAGAGGAUCAUCCUCAAGGACUACGUCGUAGGGUUCCCCACCGACGAGCACAUGGUCCUCACACUCUCCACCGUCCGAUCGAAGGUGCCCGAGGGAUCGAUGGCCGUGAUCGUCAAGAACCUCUACCUCUCCUGCGACCCCUACAUGAGGGGCCGCAUGUCGAGGCCCCUCCACAAGAGCUACACCGAGGCCUUCGUUCCGGGAGCCGUGAGCUCGAACUCUUCUCCAAACCCUAGCUUCUCUAAUUUUUUUUUGAUGUACAGUUUUAGUAAUUUCGAGGGUUUCGUUGCCUGUGAAGUGAAUUCAGUGAUAAAAAACGCAAUUCUCGUUUGAAAACUGCAAUUUUGCCGAGUUUUUCGUUGCGAUUAUGGGGAAUUUUAGCUCCCGGGAUUAUGCUUCAUGUAGAGCCAGGUAUAUUUUGGGUGGAUUAUUGGUGUUUUUUUUGCUAGGUUCAUUAAAUCGUUAAAUGGGGUGUCUAAUUUAGAUUAUCUAUUAUGUUCUUCUAAUGUUCGUAUUCUUAUUAUUGCGAUAUUGAUCUAUUGAGCAUAAUUGUAUCAAAAAAUUUAAAAACUGUGGGGAUUUGGAACUUUGGAUGAGUGUUGCAAGUAAGUUAUGGCUAAGCACUGCAAUUUUUGAUUGAAUAUGCCACCCCUUUCUUAUUAUACCAAUGAAAAUGGUCACUUGUGCAAUUUUCGCUCAUUCCAAUUGCUUGAAUUAUCUCUUCUUCUUUUUUUGAAAAAUUCAGUAAUAUUUGGGUGGAUUAUGCUUGUCAAGUUUUCCGACGAUUACUUAUAUCACUUUUCUGCAGUAUUUAGCUUCUUUUCAUUCUACUAGUAGUUUGUUUUAUCCAUGUAGGCUGAAUAAGUAUUUUUAAGUAACUGUUAAUUCCUUAGUAUCUAAUGGCAUGAUAUGACCUGAAUUUUAUUCUAUGAUUAAUCUGCAG
RNAcentral lists this long non-coding RNA (7024 nucleotides) under Ananas comosus (pineapple). Its description in RNAcentral is "long non-coding RNA (ACOM_LNC025279)". Lineage: Eukaryota; Viridiplantae; Streptophyta; Magnoliopsida; Poales; Bromeliaceae. The record is from RNAcentral.